RNAcentral lists this long non-coding RNA (446 nucleotides) under Equus asinus (donkey). RNAcentral's name for it is "lncRNA (ENSEASG00005028901.1)". Lineage: Eukaryota; Metazoa; Chordata; Mammalia; Perissodactyla; Equidae. The record is from RNAcentral.
CCCCAAUCAAUGUCUCCCUUCGGGUCAAGAGUUCAGGGACUCAGUGUGCUGGGCUGAGGGGCCCCAGCUGAGAGGAGGAUGGAUUUGGGGCCACGUGGAGACAUGAUUCAUUCUCCUGCUAAAGGCCGAUGCAGGCAAAACGCUUGUUCCUGGCACCCAGAGCUGCAUGUGGGCAGGGAGAAGAGCAGAAAUGGUACUUCCUCGGAGGCACGGGCUGCUCCUGUUUGGGGAGCCAUCAUUCACAUUUUGAUCUUGAGGAUGUCUUAGGGUCCUAUUCUUCGUUCCCUCCUCCCAGCCACUGCGUUUAGGGCACAAUGCAAUGAUACAACUUUUUCCUUCUUGAAAAAGGAGUCAUUGCCCUGACCUCUCGUGUCGUCUGUGGGGCUCCAGGGCAUCCUCGAAGUCCCUAAAUAGGUUGAAAUAAACAACUCUCCAGCAGGUGAGGA